Cydia pomonella (codling moth) is the source of this 1133-nucleotide long non-coding RNA. RefSeq lists it as uncharacterized. The transcript has 2 exons. NCBI's taxonomy places the organism in Eukaryota, Metazoa, Arthropoda, Insecta, Lepidoptera, Tortricidae. The record is from RefSeq and is a predicted model, not a curated record.
GUACUUAAGGUGGUUCGUCACGGUCAGCUAGGCACUAUUACGCUAAUAGAUGGCGUUGUUGUUAAAAUUUGACGUAUUUAAUUAAUUUAUGUAUGAUAAUGUAAAUAUUCUUAAAAAGUAAUAAGUUUCACGGUAAUAGUAUGCUGUUUGUUACGUGUUCAACUCAGUUUGAGACGAGGUAUAGUGUAUAAAACAAGUUUAUUUGUAUAAUUUAAAACGCAGCAGUGACAGCGAAGUAUUCACACACACACUCAAAACGUUUUACGACCAAAAUAAAAUUCGUGAAACGGAACGCAAACUUGUCAUGAUUGACAGAUGUCAAAGUCAGAAAGCCCAUGAAAUGCCGGAAUCAAGUUUCAACAAAAUAUGUUGUAUACGUGCGAAAUAUUUUUAAAAAAUUCACCACGUCGUACAGGACGAUCAACGAAACUCUCGACUUCUUUAAGAGCAGUCAGGUGGAUACAUCUCUCAAUAUGUUCGUAAUCUCAGAGAGCGUCUAAAGCGAGCAAUCCGAUGAUAGCUUUAUGCUCGACGACAUUGGAAUGACGAAGAUUGGAUCAAUGCGAAAUUAACUCAAAUUCAGAAUACGGAUACAGAAGAUGACGUUUUAUUUCGUGAGUAAGUAUAUUUUUUAUUUUUCAAUAUGUUAAAUUUAAAUUCCUUUUUUAGCAAUCAAAUAUUAUUUCAGGUGAGCCAUCCAUCAAUUUGUGUCAACAAGAACAGUCCCAAAGCACCCCAAAGCAUCCAAGAAAGUACCAGUGUUUCUAUUACUGACUUGAUUAUAUAAAUCAUGCUAUUUAUUUAAUAAUUUCAAGUAAUACUAACUACAUUUAUAGCAAUUAAAAUAUAUGUCCGAGCUUAUAUUUUCAUUGUUAUGUAUAUAUAACUGGUGGGUAUUACCUGUUAGCCUGCCCCAGAGUCACCAAUGCCAAGCCCUGUUCCCAAGGUAUAACAGAAACUCUGCUUUGAAGCCUUAUGAUGAAAUGGGAUUCUUACUGUCAAGACCUGAUGAAGCAUUACAAGGAUCCCACAGAGAGCUUAAGUAUUUUAUGGGCAUAAAUAUAAUAAUGGAAGUGCCUAGCCCUGUUGCAGUGCACUGCUCUACAAAAAUAAAACAAAUCAUAGAAACUAAA